UGGGGAAUAUUGGACAAUGGGGGCAACCCUGAUCCAGCAAUGCCGCGUGUGUGGAGAAGGUCUUCGGAUUGUAAAGCACUUUCGACGGGGACGAUGAUGACGGUACCCGUAGAAGAAGCCCCGGCUAACUUCGUGCCAGCAGCCGCGGUAAUACGAAGGGGGCUAGCGUUGCUCGGAAUGACUGGGCGUAAAGGGCGUGUAGGCGGUUUACACAGUCAGAUGUGAAAAUCCCCGGGCUUAACCUGGGAGCUGCAUUUGAUACGUGUAGACUAGAGUGUGAGAGAGGGUUGUGGAAUUCCCAGUGUAGAGGUGAAAUUCGUAGAUAUUGGGAAGAACACCGGUGGCGAAGGCGGCAACCUGGCUCAUGACUGACGCUGAGGCGCGAAAGCGUGGGGAGCAAACAGGAUUAGAUACCCUGGUAGUCCACGCUGUAAACGAUGUGUGCUAGAUGUUGGGUAACUUUGUUAUUCAGUGUCGC
RNAcentral lists this ribosomal RNA (478 nucleotides) under uncultured bacterium. Its description in RNAcentral is "partial 16S ribosomal RNA". It matches the Rfam family "Bacterial small subunit ribosomal RNA", at positions 355 to 849 of the family's 1533-position model. The record is from RNAcentral.